RNAcentral lists this unclassified non-coding RNA (238 nucleotides) under Hevea brasiliensis (rubber tree). Lineage: Eukaryota; Viridiplantae; Streptophyta; Magnoliopsida; Malpighiales; Euphorbiaceae. The record is from RNAcentral.
UAAAAAGAUGUUUCAGCAAGAGUUGCCAGCUCCCAUAUCUUUAUUGUUCCAUCAUCACUUGCGGAAGCAAGAAGCCGGUUCUCCCCUGGGCUCCAUUGCACUGAAUUUAUGUCCAUAUCAUGAGCUUUUUCUCUUUUCAACAGCAGUCUAUAUGAAGGACCAUUAACCAAACCAUCUUUGCUCUCCACAAAAAAUCGAAUAGCAUCAUCGGCCGCUCCACUGACUAUAAUGCCUUCCC